Molecule: long non-coding RNA, 2049 nt
Filed under: Homo sapiens (human)
Lineage: Eukaryota; Metazoa; Chordata; Mammalia; Primates; Hominidae
Description: non-protein coding lnc-MTPAP-6:5
Source: RNAcentral
AUGUGACCCCAACGCUGCCUCCCUCUCCACCCCACGAUGUUGGAAGAAACUCAACAGAGUCCUCAUCCCCAGUCUCAACGGGAAGCCAGGCCGAUGAGAACAGCCACUUGUCAUCAGGCUCUCCCUUUAGAAGUCACUGAAAGGGCCCCAGGAUACCAAGAACUAGCAGUAGCCCUGGACUUGAGCUCCACAACAAUCAAUCAACUCAAUGAAAACACCGAGUCAUUGCUUUGGGGCCCUGAAGAAAGGGUCUGGUCGAGCCGCUGUGAAGCAGUCCUCAAGCGGCAGUUAUGGCAGUCCAUAAAGGCUCGGGCACAGCUGGAAGCACACGUGACACAGAUGUUGGAACAAGUCCAGCUAGAGACAGAUGAAUAUACUCAACAUCUAAAAGGAGAGAGGGCCCGGUGGCAGCAGAGGGUAUGGAAAAUGUCAGAGGAGGGGCCCUCUGAGGUGGAACAGCAGCUACAAGCUGAGGCCGAGCACCCGAGGAAGGAGCAGGAGAGUCUGGCAGGACAGCUCCAAGCUCAGGUGCAAAACAAUCAAGGCUUGAGUCACCUGAACUGGGAGCAGGAGGAGAGGCUGCUGGAACGGGAGACGCUGCGGGAGCAGGAGAGGCUGCAGGAGCUGGAGGAGAAGCUGCAGGAGUAGGAGAGGCUGGGAGAGCGGGAGGAGAGUCUGCGGGAGCGGGAGGAGAGUCUGCGGGAGCGGGAGGAGAGGCUACGGGAGUGGGAGGAGAGGCUGCGGAGCAGGAGGACAGGCUGCUCGAGCUGGGGCGGAAAGCCAAGCUCUGGGAGGAGCAGGCAGAGACGUGCAUGCAGGCCCUGCGGAACCACACCACCAUCAACCACGUGCUCUCUCAGAACCAUGAGCUCGACUAGCAGCUGGCUGGGCCACAGAGCGGCUUAGAGGAGCUGGGUCUUCCUGCAGGUGAAGCUGAAGAGCCAAGAGGCUCAGAGUCUGCAGCAGCAGGGACACCAGUCCCUGGGUCACCUGCAGCAGUACGUGGCUGCCUAUCAGCAGCUGACCUCUGAGAAGGAGGCGCAGCACAGGCAGUUACUGCUGCAGACCCAGCUCAUGGACCAGCUGCAGCAGCAGGAAGCUUGGGGCAAAGUGCCCCCCACAGGAGAUGGAGGAGAACAUCUGGACAACGUGGAAGAGGAGGCUCAGCUUGGCCCAUGCUGAGCAUCCCGGAGGACCUGGAGAGCAGGGAGGUCAUGGCGAGCGUGGCGUUUUUCAACUCCGCUGGAGCCAGUGCCCAGGAGGAGCAGGUAUGGCUUGUGGCCUUGGCCCAGAAGGAGCCAGAGGUAGUGGAACCAGCCCCAGGGACUGGGGAUGAGUCUGUGUGUGGGUAGACUCAUCAGGCCCUGCAGGGAUCCAUGGAGAAGUUGCAGAGUGGCUUUAUGGACCUCCUGAAGGAGAAGGUGGACCUGAAGGAGUGGGUGGAGAAACUAGAGCUUCGAUCCAUCCACCUCUCAGGACAGGCAGACACCAUCAGAAAGUAAAUCACAACAUACGAGGGCCAGAGGGCAGCGCCAAAGACGCGGCACCAGGAGGAGGAGGACAUCAUCAGGCUGGCCCAGGACAAAGAGGAGAUGAAGAUGGGGCAUUGCAGCACCUCUGUGGGGGUGGGGGUGGGGUGGGUGUGAGCGUGGGCAGGGGCACUGGCACCAGCGUGGCAGCUGAGCACCCCUCCCUUCAGGUGAAACUGCUGGAGCUGCAGGAGCUGGUGUUGCGGCUUGCAGGCGAUCACAACGAGGGGCAUGGCAAAUUCCUGGCCGCUGCCCAGAACCCUGCUGAUGAUCCUGCUCCAGGGGCCCCAGCCCCUCAGGAGCUUGGGGCUGCUGACAAGCAGGGUGCGACAGCCUGGAGCCUGCACCAGGAGAGGCCAGGGAGGGUUGUCCCCAUGACAACCCCACUGCACAGCAGCUCAUGCAGCUUCUUCCUGUGAUGCGGGACCCCCAGGAGUACCCAGGCUUGGGCAGCAGUCCCUGCAUGCCAUUCUUUUACCAGGCUGCCAAGAACAGGGAGCUAAACAUCACCAUCAUCUAA